UAAUAAAUAUAUCAUCACAAUUAUUAAAAUUAUUAAAUAGUUAUUAUUUUAUGAAAGCUAGAAAGUUACAUAAAUUCACACACAUGAGCAUUGCUUGUUUGGCAGUGCUGGCACAAAAAGGGCGUCAAAAUAUAAGAAACAUGUACCAUAUGAUUCUUGAACGAUAUAUCCAUUUGAAAACAACACAAAAACGUGUAGAUUAAGAAGAAACCAAACAAGU
Molecule: unclassified non-coding RNA, 220 nt
Filed under: Hevea brasiliensis (rubber tree)
Lineage: Eukaryota; Viridiplantae; Streptophyta; Magnoliopsida; Malpighiales; Euphorbiaceae
Source: RNAcentral